RNAcentral lists this ribosomal RNA (376 nucleotides) under uncultured organism. RNAcentral describes it as "partial 16S ribosomal RNA". It matches the Rfam family "Bacterial small subunit ribosomal RNA", at positions 527 to 896 of the family's 1533-position model. The record is from RNAcentral.
GUAGGUGGCAAGCGUUGUCCGGAAUUAUUGGGCGUAAAGCGCGCGCAGGCGGUUCUUUAAGUCUGAUGUGAAAGCCCACGGCUCAACCGUGGAGGGUCAUUGGAAACUGGAGAACUUGAGUACAGAAGAGGAAAGCGGAAUUCCACGUGUAGCGGUGAAAUGCGUAGAGAUGUGGAGGAACACCAGUGGCGAAGGCGGCUUUCUGGUCUGUAACUGACGCUGAGGCGCGAAAGCGUGGGGGAGCAAACAGGAUUAGAUACCCUGGUAGUCCACGCCGUAAACGAUGAGUGCUAAGUGUUAGGAGGUUUCCGCCCCCCCCUUAGUGCUGCAGCUAACGCAUUAAGCACUCCGCCUGGGGAGUACGGCCGCAAGGCUG